AGCAGCCGCGGUAAUUCCAGCUCCAAUAGCGUAUAUUAAAGUUGUUGCAGUUAAAAAGCUCGUAGUUGAAUUUCGGGAUCAGUACGCUGGUCGUGCCUUUGGUAUGUACUGGUGUCACUGAUUCCUCCCUUCUGAAGAACCGUUAUGCCAUUUAUUUGGUGUGGCGGGGAAUCAGGACUGUUACUUUGAAAAAUUAGAGUGUUUAAAGCAGGCUCGCGCUUGAAUACAUUAGCAUGGAAUAAUGAAAUAGGACGUUUGAUUCUAUUUUGUUGGUUUCUAGGAUCGACGUAAUGAUUAAUAGGGAU
RNAcentral lists this ribosomal RNA (305 nucleotides) under uncultured Glomeromycotina. Its description in RNAcentral is "SSU rRNA". It matches the Rfam family "Eukaryotic small subunit ribosomal RNA", at positions 569 to 879 of the family's 1831-position model. Lineage: Eukaryota; Fungi; Glomeromycota. The record is from RNAcentral.